Molecule: long non-coding RNA, 1002 nt
Filed under: Cricetulus griseus (Chinese hamster)
Lineage: Eukaryota; Metazoa; Chordata; Mammalia; Rodentia; Cricetidae
Description: lncRNA (ENSCGRG00015039004.1)
Source: RNAcentral
AGACAAAUCUAAUUGAAACCAAGAAAAAAAAAAAGCAGAUGCCACCAGGAUCUGUCCCACCCCUUCUCGCAGGUCUCUCUCUGAAGUAACUUUGGCUCCUGGGCCUUGUCCUCUCUGCCAAAAUAAUGCAGAUGAGACACACAGAGCAUAGUGUGGAAGAGAGGUGGAAGUGACUACAGAAGGAAGUGAGCAUUCUCAAGGGGUCUCACUCUGUAGGAAAUCUCACCAAUAGAAUGGAUCAGAGAGAAGAUAAACCAUCCAAACUUGAAGAAGAACAAUCCAAUGCAGACAACAAUAAAAUAUUUAGAAAACACCAGUGAGAAUUCCAAGACAUAAGUGAUACUUAGAAAUGACUAGAUAUGCUGAGCCAUCUCUCUAUGUUUUAUUAACUUUAAAUUUUUUAAAUGCCAAUGAGACAGGAAACAGCCAGGGAGAGUACAUUGGAUAAUGGAAAAACUGCUGAAUUAAAUCAGCCUGGAUACUUUAAAGAUGUGUUGACCUCAGAAUGGAAACCAAGAUAUGUGUUAUGUUAGGGAAGAGGUUUGGCUUUUGUUUCCACAGGAGGAGAAAAAUUAUGGAUACUAUCAAGAUUGAUAAAGAUUAGAUUCAAACAGGAGAGACCUCUUGGUUAGGAGAGGUGAUAUUCAUCAAAUAGCAAGGCCUUUCAACCUGCCAAAAAGAGAAACUCCACAAAGUUAAGGUUGGGGCAGAGUUUUGUUUUGGUUUUCCAGGAAAAAUAAAAGUAUCCAAAAAAAAAAAAAGAGAGAGAGAGAGAAUCUGAAGACCACUGGACGCAUGGGACAUACGAAGAAGAAGAGUGAAUCAUCCAGAGAAAAUGCCCCAAGAAAAAGAACAAAUUGGCCUAAAUGUAUAGCACACUUCCAAUAGGAUAAAAUUUCAUAAAUCUUCCCAAGUAUUUUUCUCUACUGUGUCUACAGACACAUAAGACAAAUGGUCUUUUUGUAUUCCCAAUUCAAUUAAAAAUUAAAGCUGGCUUUGGAA